This 510-nucleotide ribosomal RNA is filed under the name uncultured bacterium. RNAcentral's name for it is "partial 16S ribosomal RNA". The record is from RNAcentral.
GGAGUUAGCCGGUGCUUCUUCUGUGAGUGAUGUCCUUCCUGCCGGUUAUUGACCCGCAGGCCUUCUUCCUCACUGAAAGUGCUUUACAACCCGAAGGCCUUCUUCACACACGCGGCAUGGCUGGAUCAGGGUUGCCCCCAUUGUCCAAUAUUCCCCACUGCUGCCUCCCGUAGGAGUCUGGGCCGUGUCUCAGUCCCAGUGUGGCUGAUCAUCCUCUCAGACCAGCUACGGAUCGUCGCCUUGGUGAGCCGUUACCUCACCAACCAGCUAAUCCGACAUAGGCUCAUCCGAUAGCGCGAGGCCCGAAGGUCCCCCGCUUUCCCCCGUAGGGCGUAUGCGGUAUUAGCCUGGGUUUCCCCAGGUUAUCCCCCACUACCGGGCAGAUUCCUAUGCAUUACUCACCCGUCCGCCGCUCGCCACCAGGGAGCAAGCUCCCCGUGCUGCCGCUCGACUUGCAUGUGUUAGGCCUCGCCGCCACGCGUUCAUCUGAGCCAGAAUACGACCCGUCGA